Salmo salar (Atlantic salmon) is the source of this 224-nucleotide long non-coding RNA. RefSeq lists it as uncharacterized. NCBI's taxonomy places the organism in Eukaryota, Metazoa, Chordata, Actinopteri, Salmoniformes, Salmonidae. The record is from RefSeq and is a predicted model, not a curated record.
CACCCAGCAGACCGGCUUUGAAGAACACCUGAGACACAGGUUAACAUGGUCAAUGGAACCACAGAUGGUGACAGACAGAAAGUGAAAUGAAGAAGAAAGAACAAAAGGAUGGAUAGAUCACCUGGAGAGAUUUUAUAUGGUGGAGGAGCAGGAUACAGGGCAGCCAGAAUUUUGACUCCGGACUUCUGGUACAGCUGACAAACUGAGUCGUUCAGGGGAUCCUU